AGAGAAGAGAUUACUGAAAAGAAAUUUGUAAAUAAAUUGGAUGAAAAAGAAAACCUUGACUUCUCUGGCGAGAUAGACUCUACCGAAUUUGCCUUUUCCGAGGGGUUUUCCGAUCUCGAAGUCUUUUAAGGACCAUUUUCGCUCCGAAUUUCCUU
Molecule: long non-coding RNA, 155 nt
Organism: Hibiscus syriacus
Lineage: Eukaryota; Viridiplantae; Streptophyta; Magnoliopsida; Malvales; Malvaceae
Exons: 4
Source: RefSeq, a predicted model, not a curated record